This 305-nucleotide ribosomal RNA is filed under the name uncultured bacterium. Its description in RNAcentral is "bacterial SSU rRNA". It matches the Rfam family "Bacterial small subunit ribosomal RNA", at positions 338 to 640 of the family's 1533-position model. The record is from RNAcentral.
CCUACGGGGCGCAGCAGUGAGGAAUAUUGGUCAAUGGGAGAGAUCCUGAACCAGCCAAGCCGCGUGAGGGAAGACGGCCCUAUGGGUUGUAAACCUCUUUUGUCGGAGAACAAAACCCGGGACGUGUCCCGGACUGCGUGUAUCCGAAGAAAAAGCAUCGGCUAACUCCGUGCCAGCAGCCGCGGUAAUACGUAGGGGGCAAGCGUUAUCCGGAUUUACUGGGUGUAAAGGGAGCGUAGACGGCAGGGCAAGUCUGGAGUGAAAGCCCGGGGCCCAACCCCGGGACCGCUUUGGAAACUGCUAUG